GCCCGGUUAGCUCAAUGGCAGAGCGUGAGGCUUUUAACCUCAAGGCUGUGGGUUCGACCCCCACAUCGGGCG
This 72-nucleotide transfer RNA is filed under the name Aspergillus terreus. RNAcentral's name for it is "tRNA-Lys". It matches the Rfam family "tRNA". Rfam says of the family: Transfer RNA (tRNA) molecules are approximately 80 nucleotides in length. Lineage: Eukaryota; Fungi; Ascomycota; Eurotiomycetes; Eurotiales; Aspergillaceae. RNAcentral also lists the same sequence under 1 other name. The record is from RNAcentral.